Molecule: ribosomal RNA, 320 nt
Filed under: uncultured eukaryote
Lineage: Eukaryota
Description: partial 18S ribosomal RNA
Rfam family: Eukaryotic small subunit ribosomal RNA
Source: RNAcentral
CCCUUAGAUGUUCUGGGCUGCACGCGUGCUACAAUGGCGCUUGCAACAAGAUUGCCAACCCGAAAGGGUGAGCGGAUCUUUGAAGUGGCGUCGUGAUCGGGACAGUUGAUUGCAAUUAUUCGACUCGAACGAGGAAUUCCUUGUAAUCGCGAUUCAUCAUAUCGCGCUGAAUACGUCCCUGCCCUUUGUACACACCGCCCGUCGCUCCUACCGAUUGAGCGAUCCGGUGAAUGUUUUGGACUGGUGUCCACAAGCGUUUCGCUUCGGACGCUACGAAAUUUUGUAAACCUUAUCGCUUAGAGGAAGGAAAAGUCGUAACA